This 1167-nucleotide long non-coding RNA is filed under the name Canis lupus familiaris (dog). RNAcentral describes it as "lncRNA (ENSCAFG00030016486.1)". Lineage: Eukaryota; Metazoa; Chordata; Mammalia; Carnivora; Canidae. The record is from RNAcentral.
UUUUAUAAUACUAUACUAUAAUACUGUAUUAUUUUAUAAUACAUUUAUAAUAAUCUCAUGCGAUUAAUGAUUAACUUCGAAUGAAAGAUAGUAGCGCAGAAUAAUUACUUGUUGAAGGUCAGAAGGUUAGUUAGGUAAGAUGUCAGUGAUCGGCCUAAGAUCAGAAAGCCGGUGAGUUAUGACGCGGAGUAUGAAGAGAGUGUUAAUUGUCUUUCUGUUUUGCUCAUUUGUUCUAGAAAUAGUUGUCGACUCUUUCUGUAGAGUAAGCUUUAUUUUUGAUGGAGGCAUUCAGCAGUGAGCAAAAGGAGAAAAACCUCUUCGCUUUGUAGAGCUUACAUUCUGGUGAGGGAGACAAACAAUUGUGUUCUAUAAAAUAUAAGAAGGUGAUAAGGAAGGUGUAGAAAAAAACAGAGUUGGAUCGGGAGGGAUAAGGAGCUUGGGGAGGCUUAUUUUCUAAGUUUAGAUAAGAUGGUCAGAAAGGCCUUCCUGGGAAGGUGAUAUUUGGGCCUAGACUUGCAGGAGGUGAGAGAACAAGUCACGGCAGCAUCUGGGGGAACAGCAGGAGAAUAAAAAGUGCAAAGGCACUGAGGCAUCAGGGAGGCCCAUGUGGUUAGAACGGAGUGAGAAAGGGGUCCUGUGGGAGGCAAGAUCCGAGAUGACCCGUGUUAGGGUGGGAGGGGUUGGGGGAAGGUGUAGGCUCACCAGAUGGUGGAUGACCCGUAAGGACUGCACCUUUUUCUCUGUGUGAUAUCAAGAUCCGUUGGGUGGUUUGAAUAGAGAAGUGAAAGUGAUUUGUUAUUUAGCUUCUUUUUAAAAAGACUACUGUCGCAGAGGUCUUGAGAAAAAAUAGUAGGAGAGCAUGGGUGGGUACAGGGGAUCCUAGCUGUAGGAAUUUGUGAACGAGGUGGACGUCCAAUGAGCACUGGACUUACGGUCUCAAGUUCUUAUUCUAGUUGGGACUCUUUCUCCGUGUUGUUGAGGGGGCCCUUUGGACAAUCACUUCAUGUUUCAAUAGAAAGGGAAAUAAAACUGAACAGAUGGUAUGUGUUUGAGGCAAAUUCCUCUUACUCUGUACGAUUUGUGGACUGCUACGGUCUUCCAGAUGGAAGACUUUGGGUAGCUGGUGGGCAAGAUGAUGGUGUUGGCAAUGGAAAGAACCACAGAUGA